AAUGAACGCUGGCGGCAUGCCUAACACAUGCAAGUCGAACGAGACCUUCGGGUCUAGUGGCGCACGGGUGCGUAACGCGUGGGAACCUGCCCUUAGGUUCGGAAUAACUCCCCGAAAGGGGUGCUAAUACCAGAUAAUGUCUUCGGACCAAAGAUUUAUCGCCUUUGGAUGGGCCCGCGUUGGAUUAGCUAGUUGGUAGGGUAAAAGCCUACCAAGGCGACGAUCCAUAGCUGGUCUGAGAGGAUGAUCAGCCACACUGGGACUGAGACACGGCCCAGACUCCUACGGGAGGCAGCAGUGGGGAAUAUUGGACAAUGGGCGAAAGCCUGAUCCAGCAAUGCCGCGUGAGUGAUGAAGGCCUUAGGGUUGUAAAGCUCUUUUACCCGGGAUGAUAAUGACAGUACCGGGAGAAUAAGCUCCGGCUAACUCCGUG
RNAcentral lists this ribosomal RNA (433 nucleotides) under uncultured bacterium. RNAcentral describes it as "partial 16S ribosomal RNA". It matches the Rfam family "Bacterial small subunit ribosomal RNA", at positions 29 to 507 of the family's 1533-position model. The record is from RNAcentral.